GGCAGCGGGGAUUCGACUUCCCCUGGGGGUAGGGUUA
This 37-nucleotide transfer RNA is filed under the name Pityrocarpa moniliformis. RNAcentral's name for it is "partial tRNA-Glu". The record is from RNAcentral. Lineage: Eukaryota; Viridiplantae; Streptophyta; Magnoliopsida; Fabales; Fabaceae.